GCAAUUGCUCAAUGAAAAUACUUAAAGGAGGCAACAUCCCAUAUAUUGGAAACACAAGUGCAUCUCUCACCUUAGUAACACCACAAGUGCGUCUCCAAAUGAAAUCUUAAAAAGGGCGACACAAAGAGAGAGUGAAAAGGAGGGAAGGAAGAAGAAAAGAGAGAGGAAAGAAUAUGAAGAAAUUAAAUAAAUAAAUAAUAAAAAAGAAG
Molecule: long non-coding RNA, 209 nt
Filed under: Prunus persica (peach)
Lineage: Eukaryota; Viridiplantae; Streptophyta; Magnoliopsida; Rosales; Rosaceae
Description: long non-coding RNA (PPER_LNC002112)
Source: RNAcentral